GUGAAUCAUCAAAUUUUUGAACGCAAAUUGCGCCUUUUUCGAAUGGCAUGUCUGUUUGUGGGCACCAUUUAACAAAUAUUGUGUAGCGGUUUUUGUUGCACACGUUGAUGAGCUUUCCAAGAAUUUUAAAUUUUUGGUGGCGCAUAAUGAACAGCGUGAAGCUUUUUUUUCAGUUUGUGUGUAGUAAAAUCUUUGUUUGGGUUGUGAAACGCGUGAUCGCGCAAUGGGUGUGGCGAUUAUACUAAUACUGCCUCAACGCCACUCUUUCUCACGUAAGACUGU
Molecule: unclassified non-coding RNA, 282 nt
Filed under: Paraglomus occultum
Lineage: Eukaryota; Fungi; Glomeromycota; Glomeromycetes; Paraglomerales; Paraglomeraceae
Description: partial contains 5.8S ribosomal RNA and internal transcribed spacer 2
Source: RNAcentral